RNAcentral lists this ribosomal RNA (497 nucleotides) under uncultured Acidobacteriaceae bacterium. RNAcentral's name for it is "bacterial SSU rRNA". It matches the Rfam family "Bacterial small subunit ribosomal RNA", at positions 8 to 489 of the family's 1533-position model. The record is from RNAcentral. Lineage: Bacteria; Pseudomonadati; Acidobacteriota; Terriglobia; Terriglobales; Acidobacteriaceae.
AGAGUUUGAUCAUGGCUCAGAAUCAACGCUGGCGGCGUGCCUAACACAUGCAAGUCGAGCGCGAAUGGGGAGCAAUCCCCUAGUAGAGCGGCGAACGGGUGAGUAACACGUGGGUGAUCUGCCUCCGAGUGGGGAACAACAGCGGGAAACUGCUGCUAAUACCGCAUGACAUCAUCGGGUCACAGCGAUGAUCAAAGCCGGGGACCGCAAGGCCUGGCGCUUGGAGAGGAGCCCGCGUCCGAUUAGCUAGUUGGCGGGGUAAUGGCCCACCAAGGCUUCGAUCGGUAGCCGGCCUGAGAGGGCGGACGGCCACACUGGGACUGAGACACGGCCCAGACUCCUACGGGAGGCAGCAGUGGGGAAUUUUUCGCAAUGGGGGAAACCCUGACGAAGCAACGCCGCGUGGGGGAUGAAGGUCUUCGGAUUGUAAACCCCUGUCGACCGGGACGAAAGCAUCCGACCUAACACGUCGGCAUGUUGACUGUACCGGUGAGGAG